Non-coding RNA from Candidatus Rokubacteria bacterium 13_1_40CM_4_69_5, 69 nucleotides. Lineage: Bacteria; Candidatus Rokuibacteriota. The record is from Rfam.
GUAGACGACGGCGAUGGGGUUCGCCCACAACCGCCUUGGAGUCGCGAGGCUGAUGACCCCUACCAGGCA